This 76-nucleotide non-coding RNA is filed under the name Tinospora cordifolia. Lineage: Eukaryota; Viridiplantae; Streptophyta; Magnoliopsida; Ranunculales; Menispermaceae. RNAcentral also lists the same sequence under 2 other names. The record is from RNAcentral.
CGAAUUCCAAGCUUGCGGCGGUGACAGAAGAGAGUGAGCACGUCGUAUCCAGUGCGAAUACCUCGGACCCUGCACU